RNAcentral lists this long non-coding RNA (747 nucleotides) under Brassica napus (rape). RNAcentral's name for it is "long non-coding RNA (BNAP_LNC012065)". The record is from RNAcentral. Lineage: Eukaryota; Viridiplantae; Streptophyta; Magnoliopsida; Brassicales; Brassicaceae.
UGUUUUAGUUACAGAUUAGAUAUGGGGUUGAUAUACAAUUGCAACAAAUUAUUUUAUUUAAAACAGUAUUUUUAUUAUGGUUUACAAACAAUAAUCUGGUUUGGAAAUUGAAAUUGGUUUACACAUUUGGUUUACACAUAUAACCUAAUGAAAUGAACCUAGACUUAUGUCUUGGAUAGUCUUGCGCCGUCAUGACCGAACGUAUGGUUGGCGAUGACGAAGCGACUUCAGAUUGGAGUUGAGAGCGGCGAGAUUUUGAGGCUUGAGCGGAGGAGAUCUAGACAUUCCGGUGGAGGCAGAGGGCACAUGAGUUCCAACGAAACCAACUCCGGUGAUUGAGUGAAGCUGUUGAAGGAGGUUUUAAUUGGGACUGAAGCUGAGAUUGCGGUGACGAGUUGACCGGUAUGAAGAAGAUGCAACUUGAGACUGAAGCUGAGCGCGGCGAUAUUUUGGGGCUUGAGGAAGGGAGAUCUGGAGAUUGAGGUGAGGAGACGUGAGUUCGACGGACCAGAUCUGGUGACUAAUGCAGUGAAUCUGUUUAAGGAGGUACGAACUGAGCGACGGAUGAGAAAGGGGGAGGAAGAAAAUGAUUAACGGGCAAGUAGAAGACUAAUGAUGGUAAAAAUAGAGAUAAGAGAUUAAGCACAUCAUCAUCGACUCGUGUCUAAUAUGAUGAUGUUUGUAUGGAGGAAGAAGACGAUAUUGAUACAAGAGGAAGAAAGAGUAAGAGCAACAUUAUAGGUGGUG